This is a long non-coding RNA of Mesocricetus auratus (golden hamster), 376 nucleotides long. RefSeq lists it as uncharacterized. The record is from RefSeq and is a predicted model, not a curated record. NCBI's taxonomy places the organism in Eukaryota, Metazoa, Chordata, Mammalia, Rodentia, Cricetidae. The transcript has 3 exons.
GGUGGAGUUCCCAAUUAGGCACAAGUGGUAUGAGGUGGGCUGAGGAGAUGGAAAAGGCAAAGGAUAACCAAUAGACAACCAACACCACCACCAUCAACAAAACAAGGUCUUGGCAUUAAAGCGCUUCAGCAUUCCUGCCUAUGUCUCUUGAUUCCCCAACCCCAACUCCAUGCAUUCUGCAUGCUAGAUGACAGAAUCUACUUCUGCAUACCUGCCCAUCACUUUCCAUGGAGCCUUCACCCAAAGGAUCUGCUAUGCUGUUUGGACUUCCAGCCUCUCAAACUGUGCAUUAAACCAAUCUCUCCUUAAAAAGCAGUGCACUUCAGGUGUUUUUUUAAGCCUCUCCUUACAUGAAAAUAAAUGUCUUGCCUGUCAA